CGACCGGGUGGUGCUCGGCAUGGGCGCCGGCGGUCUGUGGGACCGCAUCUCGGCGAUGGGCGUGCCACGGCUGUCCAACGCGGCGGCGGUCGAC
This 94-nucleotide transfer RNA is filed under the name Virgisporangium aurantiacum. RNAcentral's name for it is "tRNA-His". Lineage: Bacteria; Bacillati; Actinomycetota; Actinomycetes; Micromonosporales; Micromonosporaceae. The record is from RNAcentral.